This is a non-coding RNA of Fomitopsis serialis, 106 nucleotides long. NCBI's taxonomy places the organism in Eukaryota, Fungi, Basidiomycota, Agaricomycetes, Polyporales, Fomitopsidaceae. The record is from the annotation of a RefSeq genome assembly.
GUUUCCGUCGAUUAGUGGUCAGAUCAUCACGUUGUGGUGCGCUCGAAUACUUACACGUCUAGAGCACAGAACCGUGGAGACGAGGGCUCGACUCCCUCCGGAAACA